UACGGAGGGUGCAAGCGUUAAUCGGAAUUACUGGGCGUAAAGCGUACGUAGGCGGCUUGUUAAGCGAGAUGUGAAAGCCCCGGGCUCAACCUGGGAACCGCAUUUCGAACUGGCAAACUAGAGUCUUGUAGAGGGGGGUAGAAUUCCAGGUGUAGCGGUGAAAUGCGUAGAGAUCUGGAGGAAUACCGGUGGCGAAGGCGGCCCCCUGGACAAAGACUGACGCUCAGGCACGAAAGCGUGGGGAGCAAACAGG
RNAcentral lists this ribosomal RNA (253 nucleotides) under uncultured microorganism. RNAcentral describes it as "partial 16S ribosomal RNA". It matches the Rfam family "Bacterial small subunit ribosomal RNA", at positions 524 to 776 of the family's 1533-position model. The record is from RNAcentral.